GUUGAGGUGGCAGAGCCCGGCAAUGCAAGAGACCUAAGUCCUCUUACUCAGAGGUUCAACUCCUCUCCUCAAC
This 73-nucleotide transfer RNA is filed under the name Osteoglossum ferreirai (black arawana). Its description in RNAcentral is "tRNA-Leu". It matches the Rfam family "tRNA". Rfam says of the family: Transfer RNA (tRNA) molecules are approximately 80 nucleotides in length. Their secondary structure includes four short double-helical elements and three loops (D, anti-codon, and T loops). The record is from RNAcentral. Lineage: Eukaryota; Metazoa; Chordata; Actinopteri; Osteoglossiformes; Osteoglossidae.